Molecule: long non-coding RNA, 771 nt
Organism: Eptesicus fuscus (big brown bat)
Lineage: Eukaryota; Metazoa; Chordata; Mammalia; Chiroptera; Vespertilionidae
Exons: 3
Source: RefSeq, a predicted model, not a curated record
GCGCGCGGCCCGGCCCCCAGCGAGCCGCCGGCGUGGAGUUUGAUUUUAGCGCGCGGCCUGGAAGAGGCGGCACCCCGUGCGCCAGUGCCUUCCUCUGUGGCUUCCAGGAGUUGGCGCUUUGGCGGGAAUGGAUGAAGGGCCCUGUGGUUUCAGGGCGAAGGGAUGCGAAUCCAGGGGCCGACCGGUUGACCGUACAGGCUCAGAGUUCCAUCCUAGGGCCACCUCUGUUGGCUCUUAGAGGUGGCCAGCGCACGUAACGGAGCCCAGGUUUCCCACCCAGUUAUGGACGAAAAGAAGAAACACCUUUGAGGUGUCACCCACCCUAGGUCGGAAUGAUGAUCCGCUUCUUCGUGGCCUGGCUUUACCCCUGGACCCUCCAAAGGGAAAUCCUGUGGCGGCGCAGCCUCGACUGUUCCAUCUAUGAUGCAUCUAUCGCUGGGGUCCUGCCUCUGCUGUAGGGUUUUAAGACUUAUUUGCCCUGGCCCAUAAAGCCAAUAAACUAUGAUUCAAGGACAGAGGGCAGACACGUAAGGUUGACACUGAGCAGCAGGACAAGACUCCUAGAAAAGGGUGGAGCCAAAAACGGGAUGGAGUCUGGAUCCCUAAAUAACUGCUCCUCUCUCCAUUGAACUUCUGUGCACCACAAAAUGAAGCCUGAGUGAGUGAGGGGUAGAUUGAUGGAAGGCAACAUUGCCUCAGGAGUAACAAAAGAACUUCAGUGAUGGAGUAUGUAUCCUUCCCCUUGAAGUUAUUAACAUACCGCCAAAACAA